RNAcentral lists this ribosomal RNA (404 nucleotides) under uncultured bacterium. Its description in RNAcentral is "bacterial SSU rRNA". It matches the Rfam family "Bacterial small subunit ribosomal RNA", at positions 355 to 776 of the family's 1533-position model. The record is from RNAcentral.
UGGGGAAUAUUGGACAAUGGGCGAAAGCCUGAUCCAGCAAUGCCGCGUGAGUGAUGAAGGCCUUAGGGUUGUAAAGCUCUUUUACCAGGGAUGAUAAUGACAGUACCUGGAGAAUAAGCUCCGGCUAACUCCGUGCCAGCAGCCGCGGUAAUACGGAGGGAGCUAGCGUUGUUCGGAAUUACUGGGCGUAAAGCGCACGUAGGCGGCUUUUCAAGUCAGGGGUGAAAUCCCGGGGCUCAACCCCGGAACUGCCCUUGAAACUGGAUGGCUAGAAUACUGGAGAGGUGAGUGGAAUUCCGAGUGUAGAGGUGAAAUUCGUAGAUAUUCGGAAGAACACCAGUGGCGAAGGCGACUCACUGGACAGUUAUUGACGCUGAGGUGCGAAAGCGUGGGGAGCAAACAGG